Molecule: ribosomal RNA, 479 nt
Filed under: uncultured bacterium
Lineage: Bacteria
Description: bacterial SSU rRNA
Rfam family: Bacterial small subunit ribosomal RNA
Source: RNAcentral
GACGAACGCUGGCGGCGCGCUUAAUACAUGCAAGUCGAACGAGAAGCCAGAGCUUGCUCUGGUGGAAAGUGGCGAACGGGUGAGUAACACGUGAGAAACCUGCCCAAAGAUUGGGAUAAGCCUUGGAAACGAGGUCUAAUACCAAAUACCUUCUUUUAACACAUGUUAAAAAGAAGAAAUGCUCCGGCGCUUUGGGAUGGUCUCGCGAUCUAUCAGCUUGUUGGUGAGGUAACGGCUCACCAAGGCAUCGACGGAUAGCUGGUCUGAGAGGAUGUCCAGCCACAUUGGAACUGAGACACGGUCCAAACUCCUACGGGAGGCAGCAGUAGGGAAUCUUGCACAAUGAGGGAAACCUUGAUGCAGCGACGCCGCGUGCGGGACGAAAGGCCCUAGGGUUGUAAACCGCUUUCAGUAGGGACGAAAGUGACGGUACCUACAGAGGAAGCCCCGGCCAACUAUGUGCCAGCAGCCGCGGUAAU